GAUAAAAUUACAAAAAAAUUUUGUAGCUUAUUGGAAAGUCAAGAUAUGGUAUGCAACCAGCAGAAUCCAGACCAUAAAAAUUCGAUACUAGUAUUAGAUGGUUUAUCAACCAUUAGUUUAGCUUGGAGAUGGGAAAAAAUUUCAAAGAAUUGAACAAAAUAAAAUUAGGCAGAGCAUCUGGAUCUUCUGGCUCCAAACUUUCAUACAAAUGGUAUGAAUAUAUCAAAUUCAUGGAGCCAAAGAUAAAAGAAAGAAAAACUACUGAACACUUUUGGUCAUAAAGAAAUUACACCAAAGGCUACUGGUUCAAAAAUAAAUGCUCUCUUGGAUGAAAGACUUUUGACUUUUUGAAAAGGGUGCCAUCUGAGAGCCAAUUGUAUCUACAAUCAAUGACAGAAGAGAUAUAUUUAAUGAAAUUAUAACUUAGUGUAUUUAUUUUUGUAAAUAUAUUUGUUAUAAAGUAAUAUUGUGGCCAUUUUUGAAUAAAUAAGCAAACUAUUCAAAAUUUA
Gordionus sp. m RMFG-2023 is the source of this 509-nucleotide long non-coding RNA. RefSeq lists it as uncharacterized. The record is from RefSeq and is a predicted model, not a curated record. The transcript has 3 exons. Lineage: Eukaryota; Metazoa; Nematomorpha; Gordioida; Chordodea; Parachordodidae.